GAUCAAGCUACUAAGAGCUUAUGGUGAAUGCCUUGGUGCCAGGAGGCGAUGAAGGACGUAGUAAGUUGCGAUAAGCCACGGGGAGCCGCAAGCAGGCUGUGAGCCGUGGAUUUCCGAAUGGGAUAACCCAGCCAGUUUAACCGCUGGCUAUCGCCGGAUGAAUGCAUAGUCCGGCGAGGCGACACGGGGUGAAGUGAAACAUCUCAGUAACCCCAGGAAAAGAAAACGAAAUGAUUCCGUGAGUAGUGGCGAGCGAAAGCGGAGGAGGCCAAACUGGAGGGACUUGUCUCUCCGGGGUAGCGGGACCUCGACGUGGGCAGCGGAGAGUUAGCAGAACGCUCUGGAAAGAGCGGCCAGAGACCGUGACAGCCGGGUCUGCGAAAACUUGAAGCGCCCUAGAGGGAUCCCAAGUAGCACGAUGCACGUGAAACUCUGUGCGAAUCCGUCCGGACCACCGGAUAAGCCUAAAUACUCCCUGGCAACCGAUAGUGAACUAGUACCGCGAGGGAAAGGUGAAAAGAACCCCUUCCAGGGGAGUGAAAGAGUACCUGCAACCAUGAGCUUACAAUGUGUCGGAGCGCCGCAAGGCGUGACGGCCUGCCUUUUGCAUAAUGAGUCUGCGAGUUAUUGUCAGUGGCCAGCCGAAGGUUCUCUGAACCGAAGGCGAAGGGAAACCGAGUGUGAAGAGCGCGACCAGUCGCUGGCGAUAGACCCGAAGCGGAGGUGAUCUACCCUUGAGCAGGUUGAAGCUGCGGUAACACGCAGUGGAGGACCGAACCCGUGGUUGUUGAAAAAUCCUGGGAUGACUUGAGGGUAGGAGCGAAAGACUAAUCAAACCCCGUGAUAGCUGGUUCUCUCCGAAAUCGCUUGAGGGCGAGCGUCGGGCCAGUACUCGGAGGAGGUAGAGCACUGAAUGGCUUAGGGGCCCCACCAGGCUGCCAAAACCAAUCAAACUCCGAAUUCCUCCGAUCCCCGUACCCCGGCAUUUAGGCUGCCGGUGAUAAGAUCUGCAGCCGAGAGGGCAACAGCCCAGACCAUCAGCUAAGGUGCCCCAAUGUGAUUAAGUGGAAAGGAUGUGACGUUACUCAGACAGUGAGGAUGUUGGCUUAGAGGCAGCCAUCAUUUAAACAGUGCGUAAUAGCUGACUCAUCGAGCGAUGUCGCGCCGAAGAUGAUUGGCGAUCAAAUCACAUACCGAAGCUAUGGAUUGAAUCCCGGUUCGCCGGGGUUCAGUGGUAGGAGAGCGUAAUCAACGCGGUGAAGCUGGACGGAGACGGAAAGUGGAGCGUUGAUUAGUGAGAAUGCAGACACGAGUAGCGAGAAAACAGGUGAGAAUCCUGUUCGCCGUAAACCCAAGGUUUCCUGGGCCAGGUUCGUCCCCCCAGGGUUAGCCGGGAGCUAACGCGAGGCCGGAAGGCGUAGCGGAUGCACAGCAGGUUAAAUAUUCCUGCGCCGGCCCGGGUUAAGACUGUGAAUGACGCGUUGAGAAAAGUGACUAAGCAAUCGAAUGCUGAGCCUAGGCUUCGGCCAAAGCGCAUCACCGGACAAGGCGCCGAGAAAAGUUUGCAGUUGUUCCCCGGGUCGCCCGUACCGUAAACCGACACAGGUGGGUGGGUGUAAAUGCACUCAGGCGCGCGAGAGAAACUUCUCUAAGGAACUAGGCACAUUCGCCCCGUAACUUCGGAAGAAGGGGUGCUCAAGACCGCGACAGCAAUGUGGCGGUGGCGAGUCUCAGUAAAUUGCGUUUAGCGACUGUUUAACAAAAACACAGCACUCUGCCAAGUCGUGAAGACGACGUAUAGGGUGUGACACGUGACCAAUGCGGAAAGAUUAAGAGAUCUUGUCAGCCGCAAGGCGAAGCUCGGUCUUUAAGUCCCCGUGAAUGUCGGCCGUAACUAUAACGGUCCUAAGGUAGCGAAAUUCCUUGUCGGGUAAGUUCCGACCUGCACGAAUCGUGUAACGACUAAACGACUGUCUCGGAGAGGAUCUCGGCGAAACUGUAACGGCGGUGAAGAUGCCGCCUGCCCGCAGUAGGACGGGAAGACCCUAUGCACCUUUACUGUAAGCUCGUAUUGGGUUCUGGUUUGUGAUGCGUAGCGUAGGUGGGAGACUUUGAAGUGAGGGCCUCGGUCUUCAUGGAGUCGCAAUGUGAAACACCACUCUUCGCCAAUUAGGAUUCUAACCCCGGGCUGUGAAGCCAGCCGGGGGACAGUGCGUGCGGGUCAGUUUGACUGGGGCGGUUUCCUCCCAAAAAGUAACGGAGGAGCGCGAAGCUCAGCUCAGCACGGUUGGCAACCGUGCGUUGAGGGUAUGGCUAGAAGCUGGGUUAACUGUGAGACCCACAAGUCGAGCAGGUGCGAAAGCAGGCCCAAAUGAUCCGGCGGUUUAAUGUGGAAUUGCCGUCGCUCAUCGGACAAAAGGUACGCUAGGGAUAACAGGCUGAUCGCUUCCAAGAGUUCAUAUCGACGAAGCGGUUUGGCACCUCGAUGUCGGCUCAUCGCAUCCUGGGGCUGAAGAAGGUCCCAAGGGUCCGGCUGUUCGCCGGUUAAAGCGGUACGCGAGCUGGGUUCAGAACGUCGUGAGACAGUUCGGUCCUUAUCCACUGUGGGCGCAGGAGACUUGAGGGGUUCUUUUCCUAGUACGAGAGGACCGGAAAAGACGCACUUCUGGUGUGGCAGUUGUCCCGUCCGGGGCAUCGCUGCGUAGCCAUGUGCGGAAGAGAUAAGCGCUGAAAGCAUCUAAGUGCCAAGCUCCUCCCAAGAUAAGGUCUCCCGGACCGCAAGGUCCCUAAAGACCCCCGGAAGACUACCGGGUUGAUAGGCCAGAGGUGUAAGCGGGGUGACUCGUUUAGCUGACUGGUACUAAUUGGUCGUGCGGCUUGAUCGC
Molecule: ribosomal RNA, 2885 nt
Filed under: Verrucomicrobiota bacterium
Lineage: Bacteria; Pseudomonadati; Verrucomicrobiota
Description: Verrucomicrobia bacterium (wastewater metagenome) 23S ribosomal RNA
Rfam family: Bacterial large subunit ribosomal RNA
Source: RNAcentral